Molecule: ribosomal RNA, 375 nt
Filed under: uncultured bacterium
Lineage: Bacteria
Description: bacterial SSU rRNA
Rfam family: Bacterial small subunit ribosomal RNA
Source: RNAcentral
AUACGAAGGGGGCUAGCGUUGCUCGGAAUUACUGGGCGUAAAGGGAGCGUAGGCGGACUGUUAAGUUAGAGGUGAAAGCCCAGGGCUCAACCUUGGAAUUGCCUUUGAUACUGGCAGUCUUGAGUACGGAAGAGGUAUGUGGAACUCCGAGUGUAGAGGUGAAAUUCGUAGAUAUUCGGAAGAACACCAGUGGCGAAGGCGACAUACUGGUCCGUUACUGACGCUGAGGCUCGAAAGCGUGGGGAGCAAACAGGAUUAGAUACCCUGGUAGUCCACGCCGUAAACGAUGAGUGCUAGUUGUCGGCAUGCAUGCAUGUCGGUGACGCAGCUAACGCAUUAAGCACUCCGCCUGGGGAGUACGGUCGCAAGAUUAAA